This is a long non-coding RNA of Gossypium arboreum, 523 nucleotides long. RefSeq lists it as uncharacterized. The transcript is spliced from 2 exons. The record is from RefSeq and is a predicted model, not a curated record. NCBI's taxonomy places the organism in Eukaryota, Viridiplantae, Streptophyta, Magnoliopsida, Malvales, Malvaceae.
CGUCCCUCUCCCUUUCCGCCACUGUCUCCCUUCCCUCCAUCUCCUUCCCACCCCCACCGCCAAGAAUGAAAGAGUUAAGGAAAUCCCAAAUUUUACUUGCUAAAAAAUUUGCAGACUUUGAUACUUGAUGGGUGUACGAUUGUUGAAGAGUUGCCAAGAGAUGUACAGAACUUGAGCGAUCUCACUAUGCAAUCGAUAACCACGAAACAGAGGUUUCUACCCGAGAAUGGAGUGGGGCGCUUAAUCCGUUUGAGGUUUUUAGCCAUUACUGGAUGCCAGAACCUGAAAUAUUUGCCUCAAGAUAUUUGUAGAUCUCGAAAACUAGAGGAAUAAUCUAGCAACUGAUCUGCAACUUUUGACUUAGUAACGUUUGUAUAGUUUCUUGUAUUUUGUUAUAUGAAAUGUACCUAAGGUUUGAGUCUGUUGUGUAAUGUAAUGGUCAUUUUGAAAUCAUGAUGAUUUGGUUUAGUUUGUGAAUGGUGAAUUUGUUAAUUUGGUUAGUAAUGUCAUAAGAUUGGUGGUA